UACGGAGGGUGCAAGCGUUACCCGGAUUCACUGGGUUUAAAGGGUGCGUAGGCGGAUGCAUAAGUCAGUGGUGAAAUCCCCGAGCUUAACUUGGGAACUGCCGUUGAUACUAUGUGUCUUGAAUAUCGUGGAGGUAAGCGGAAUAUGUCAUGUAGCGGUGAAAUGCUUAGAUAUGACAUAGAACACCGAUUGCGAAGGCAGCUUACUACACGAUCAUUGACGCUGAGGCACGAAAGCGUGGGGAGCAAACAGG
This 253-nucleotide ribosomal RNA is filed under the name uncultured bacterium. Its description in RNAcentral is "partial 16S ribosomal RNA". It matches the Rfam family "Bacterial small subunit ribosomal RNA", at positions 524 to 776 of the family's 1533-position model. The record is from RNAcentral.